RNAcentral lists this ribosomal RNA (253 nucleotides) under uncultured bacterium. Its description in RNAcentral is "partial 16S ribosomal RNA". It matches the Rfam family "Bacterial small subunit ribosomal RNA", at positions 524 to 776 of the family's 1533-position model. The record is from RNAcentral.
UACGUAGGGUGCGAGCGUUAAUCGGAAUUACUGGGCGUAAAGCGUGCGCAGGCGGUUCGUUGUGUCGGCGGUGAAAGCCCCGGGCUUAACCUGGGAAUGGCCGUCGAAACUGGCGAACUGGAGUGUGGCAGAGGGGGGUGGAAUUCCGCGUGUAGCAGUGAAAUGCGUAGAGAUGCGGAGGAACACCGAUGGCGAAGGCAGCCCCCUGGGCUGACACUGACGCUCAGGCACGAAAGCUAGGGGAGCAAACGGG